UCAUCCUCCUGGCCUAAGAUCAAGUGUAGUGUCUGUUCUUAUCAGUUUAAUAUCUCAUUCCAUAUCAAACAGAUUUUUGAAAGGACUGGCUGAGUCUGCUGGGGCUUGCUCCACUCAGUCCAGAUUACUUCUUUUAGGCAGAGUGGUGGCUUUCU
Molecule: small nuclear RNA, 155 nt
Filed under: Erpetoichthys calabaricus (reedfish)
Lineage: Eukaryota; Metazoa; Chordata; Cladistia; Polypteriformes; Polypteridae
Description: U2 spliceosomal RNA (ENSECRG00000001762.1)
Rfam family: U2 spliceosomal RNA
About the family: U2 is a small nuclear RNA (snRNA) component of the spliceosome (involved in pre-mRNA splicing). Complementary binding between U2 snRNA (in an area lying towards the 5' end but 3' to hairpin I) and the branchpoint sequence (BPS) of the intron results the bulging out of an unpaired adenosine, on the BPS, which initiates a nucleophilic attack at the intronic 5' splice site, thus starting the first of two transesterification reactions that mediate splicing.
Source: RNAcentral